Molecule: ribosomal RNA, 376 nt
Filed under: uncultured Ignavibacteria bacterium
Lineage: Bacteria; Pseudomonadati; Ignavibacteriota; Ignavibacteria
Description: bacterial SSU rRNA
Rfam family: Bacterial small subunit ribosomal RNA
Source: RNAcentral
UAAUACAGAGGUGGCAAGUGUUGUUCGGAUUUACUGGGCGUAAAGGGUCCGCAGGCGGUCCUGUGUGUCGGAUGUGAAAGCUCACGGCUUAACCGUGGAAUUGCAUUCGAAACUACAGGACUAGAGUACAGGAGGGGAGAGGGGAAUUCAGGGUGUAGCGGUGAAAUGCGUAGAUAUCCUGAAGAACACCGGUGGCGAAGGCGCCUCUCUGGACUGAUACUGACGCUCAUGGACGAAAGCUAGGGGAGCGAAGAGGAUUAGAUACCCUCGUAGUCCUAGCCGUAAACGGUGUGCACUUGAUGUUGGAGGUUUACCCCCUUCAGUGUCGGAGCUAACGCGUUAAGUGCACCGCCUGGGAAGUACGGCCGCAAGGUUA